AUUUACAUCAGUAAUGUUCAGCAGAAGUUUUAAUUUGACAUCUUUACAUUAUUAUUUAUUUUCUCGUCUUAAUCAAAACUCAUCAACCAUGUAUUAUAAACGUGCUGGCUGUGCUGGCCCUCGUCAGUGUCCCCCAAACUUAAACCCUCUCUCUCCUCAGGGCAGUGCCGGGUUCGGAUACCAGGGCUCUAAGGGUGAGCCGGGCCCCGCUGGCCCCGCAGGCCCCCCGGGGCCCCCCGGUCCCCCGGCUCAGUACUCCAUGAACAGCGAUGGGGCCGUGGUGUCCACUGUCCCCGGCCCUAUAGGCCCCCCAGGAGCCCCGGGCCCCCAGGGAAAGCCCGGCGACGACGGAGAGCCGGGAGAUCCAGGAGAAGACGGGAAAACUGGCCCUAAAGGACCUGCGGGAUUCCCAGGGACCCCUGGAGACACCGGCCCCAAAGGAGAGAAGGGCGAUCGUGGAGACGGUGACCCCGGACCCAGAGGCCCCCGGGGCCCCCAGGACCCCCCGGCCCUGGACUCAGAUCGACGUUUGUGGACAUGGAGGCCUCUGGGUUCCCCGACCUGGAGACGCUCAGGGUGAAGCUCCAUCAGAUAAAUGAAC
RNAcentral lists this long non-coding RNA (601 nucleotides) under Neogobius melanostomus (round goby). Its description in RNAcentral is "lncRNA (ENSNMLG00000013775.1)". The record is from RNAcentral. Lineage: Eukaryota; Metazoa; Chordata; Actinopteri; Gobiiformes; Gobiidae.